GGGGAUGUAGCUCAGUGAUAGAGUGUGUGCUUAGCAUGCAUGAGGUCCUGGGUUCAAUCCUCAGUACCUUCA
Molecule: transfer RNA, 72 nt
Filed under: Camelus bactrianus (Bactrian camel)
Lineage: Eukaryota; Metazoa; Chordata; Mammalia; Artiodactyla; Camelidae
Also listed under: 2 other names
Rfam family: tRNA
About the family: Transfer RNA (tRNA) molecules are approximately 80 nucleotides in length. Their secondary structure includes four short double-helical elements and three loops (D, anti-codon, and T loops).
Source: Rfam by way of RNAcentral